Molecule: ribosomal RNA, 490 nt
Filed under: uncultured bacterium
Lineage: Bacteria
Description: bacterial SSU rRNA
Rfam family: Bacterial small subunit ribosomal RNA
Source: RNAcentral
CGCUGGCGGCGUGCCUAAUACAUGCAAGUCGAGCGAAUCAAUAGGAGCUUGCUCCUGUUGGUUAGCGGCGGACGGGUGAGUAACACGUGGGCAACCUGCCUGUAAGACUGGGAUAACUUCGGGAAACCGGAGCUAAUACCGGAUAAUCCUUUUCCACACAUGUGGGAAAGCUGAAAGUCGGUUUCGGCUGACACUUACAGAUGGGCCCGCGGCGCAUUAGCUAGUUGGUGAGGUAACGGCUCACCAAGGCGACGAUGCGUAGCCGACCUGAGAGGGUGAUCGGCCACACUGGGACUGAGACACGGCCCAGACUCCUACGGGAGGCAGCAGUAGGGAAUCUUCCGCAAUGGACGAAAGUCUGACGGAGCAACGCCGCGUGAGCGAUGAAGGCCUUCGGGUCGUAAAGCUCUGUUGUUAGGGAAGAACAAGUAUCGGAGUAACUGCCGGUACCUUGACGGUACCUAACCAGAAAGCCACGGCUAACUACGUG